Molecule: ribosomal RNA, 425 nt
Filed under: uncultured bacterium
Lineage: Bacteria
Description: bacterial SSU rRNA
Rfam family: Bacterial small subunit ribosomal RNA
Source: RNAcentral
UCGAGAAUCUUCGGCAAUGGACGCAAGUCUGACCGAGCGACGCCGCGUGCGGGAUGAAGGUCUUCGGAUUGUAAACCGCUGUCAGAGGGGAUGAAGUGUAUGGGGGUACUCCCCUGUACUUGACAGAGCCUCAGAGGAAGCACGGGCUAAGUUCGUGCCAGCAGCCGCGGUAAUACGAACUGUGCGAACGUUAUUCGGAAUCACUGGGCUUAAAGGGUGCGUAGGCGGUUAUCUAAGUCAGGUGUGAAAUCUCUCGGCUCAACCGGGAAACUGCGCUUGAAACUGGGUGACUGGAGGGAUGCAGGGGUGUGUGGAACUUCCGGUGGAGCGGUGAAAUGUGUAGAUAUCGGAAGGAACGCCAGCAGCGAAAGCGGCACACUGGGCAUCUACUGACGCUGAGGCACGAAAGCUAGGGGAGUGAACGG